RNAcentral lists this ribosomal RNA (468 nucleotides) under uncultured bacterium. RNAcentral describes it as "partial 16S ribosomal RNA". It matches the Rfam family "Bacterial small subunit ribosomal RNA", at positions 28 to 507 of the family's 1533-position model. The record is from RNAcentral.
GACGAACGCUGGCGGCGUGCUUAACACAUGCAAGUCGAACGGAAAGGCCCUGCUUUUGUGGGGUGCUCGAGUGGCGAACGGGUGAGUAACACGUGAGUAACCUGCCCUUGACUUUGGGAUAACUUCAGGAAACUGGGGCUAAUACCGGAUAGGAGCUCCUGCUGCAUGGUGGGGGUUGGAAAGUUUCGGCGGUUGGGGAUGGACUCGCGGCUUAUCAGCUGGUUGGUGGGGUAGUGGCUUACCAAGGCUUUGACGGGUAGCCGGCCUGAGAGGGUGACCGGCCACAUUGGGACUGAGAUACGGCCCAGACUCCUACGGGAGGCAGAAGUGGGGAAUAUUGCACAAUGGGCGGAAGCCUGAUGCAGCAACGCCGCGUGCGGGAUGACGGCCUUCGGGUUGUAAACCGCUUUCGCCUGUGACGAAGCGUGAGUGACGGUAAUGGGUAAAGAAGCACCGGCUAACUACGUG